This 70-nucleotide transfer RNA is filed under the name Terpsiphone atrocaudata. RNAcentral describes it as "tRNA-Lys". It matches the Rfam family "tRNA". Rfam says of the family: Transfer RNA (tRNA) molecules are approximately 80 nucleotides in length. Their secondary structure includes four short double-helical elements and three loops (D, anti-codon, and T loops). Lineage: Eukaryota; Metazoa; Chordata; Aves; Passeriformes; Monarchidae. The record is from RNAcentral.
CAUUAAGAAGCUAUGGAUCAGCACUAGCCUUUUAAGCUAGAGAGAGGGGGAUACACACCCCCCUUAAUGG